AUACAGCUGACGAGUCCUGAAUAGAACGAAACGUGCGUCCUGGAU
Molecule: non-coding RNA, 45 nt
Filed under: Schistosoma curassoni
Lineage: Eukaryota; Metazoa; Platyhelminthes; Trematoda; Strigeidida; Schistosomatidae
Source: RNAcentral